CCCAUCCCAGUUCCCUUGAGGCCACGCACAUCGCCUGACACUUGCUGAGUGCUUCACGUCUCACCGCGACAGCUCCUGUCGCCCUCCCAGGGGCACAGCCUUUAGUUCUGUGUGUGGUCCAACAAAGGUGUGGCCUCGAGGCAGGGGGAUGACCGUGAGUGAGCCAGCCUGGGCUACAACCAGUUCCUAAGCAGGGGGAGGCUGAGGCCCCACACACAUCAUACGGUUAUGAAGCAAGCACGGAGCUGAUUUGCAUAUGCAGAUGAGCUCAUGCAUAUUCGUGGAAGGGCCUCGGGAGUGACGGGUAAACCACGGAUGUCCACUGGGUGGCGCUGUGAUCCGCUCUUUCAGGAUCCAAAAGGAACUCUGAAAGCCAAGUUCUGGAAAGAACACUGACACUGCGUUUAAAGACAAAAGACUCUAAAGCUUCAUAAGUUUAGGUGCCGUGGCGUUACGGUCUAUCUGAAAUAUUUCGCCAGGCACGAGCUUAUUUAGGAGGUGAAUCCCAAGGCUCCCUUUUACCUGCGCGCCCGAGCGGACAUAGCAGUUGUAUUUCACAGAAUGACCGAGAUGGCUAUGCAGAGGGAUCUGGACCACUGAGCAGAAAAGGCUGAUUCUUGAUUUGAACGAAAUAGAAAGUAAUAUUAAAGGGAAUGUGGUGUCUU
This is a long non-coding RNA of Mastomys coucha (southern multimammate mouse), 665 nucleotides long. RefSeq lists it as uncharacterized. The transcript is spliced from 3 exons. The record is from RefSeq and is a predicted model, not a curated record. Lineage: Eukaryota; Metazoa; Chordata; Mammalia; Rodentia; Muridae.